This 665-nucleotide long non-coding RNA is filed under the name Mytilus galloprovincialis (Mediterranean mussel). The record is from RNAcentral. Lineage: Eukaryota; Metazoa; Mollusca; Bivalvia; Mytilida; Mytilidae.
GUUAAAAUAAAUACAAAUUAUAUACAAUACAGUUAUUGCUAUCUGAAAUGUUACUGUCUUUUUUGAAAAUCUAUUAAUAAGAAUUGUUUUAGUUAAUUAAUGGAAAACUGUUUCUACAUCCAAUCUCCCCAUGCGAAUUUCAAUGACAGAUUUCCCUUUAUAAAUGCUUAAGAUGUUGACAUCUAUGCAGGGAUCUCCAUGGCCUGUUAAACGAUGGCGCCCCGCCAUCGUUCAAAUGUCUUGCGCCAUCGUCAAAUGACUCGCUCCAUCGUUCAAUUUUCUUCCACCAUCAUUCAAAACUGUGAUCGUUUUUAUAGCCUGACGCCAUUUUUUUAGCAAUAAUAAUCAAAUGCAUGUAAUUGCAUAACCCUCAGGCUUUUUUUUAGUUCUAACGCCUGAGGGAUAUCCGGAUUAAGAUCGCUAAUUGUACCUGAGCUUGCACAGGUAGAUCAACAAACCAGACAGGAGAAUAUUAUCUGAAGAUAGACGAUUCAUUUGUCGAAUUAUUUAACUAAGUUUUCGCAAAUGCUUAUGAUAAUUCAGAUUAAAUAAAUAAAUUAAUAAUCCAGUUACAAAGUUUAACAAGUAGAACACGUGCUUUUAUUUUGACUUAUGCAAUCAGCAUCCCCCUUUUUAAGAAGUACAAAAUAAGACGUAAAACAGUU